UGGGAAGUAUUGCAUCAAUGGCAGGCAAGCAUGCAUGCAGCCAUGCCGCGUGUAUGAAGAAGGCCUUCGGGUUGUAAAGUACUUUCAGCGAGGAGGAAGGCGUUGUGGUUAAUAACCGCAACGAUUGACGUUACUCGCAGAAGAAGCACCGGCUAACUCCGUGCCAGCAGCCGCGGUAAUACGGAGGGUGCAAGCGUUAAUCGGAAUUACUGGGCGUAAAGCGCACGCAGGCGGUCUGUCAAGUCGGAUGUGAAAUCCCGGGCUCAACCUGGAACUGCAUCCGAAACUGGCAGGCUAGAGUCUUGUAGAGGG
This 312-nucleotide ribosomal RNA is filed under the name uncultured Enterobacteriaceae bacterium. RNAcentral describes it as "bacterial SSU rRNA". It matches the Rfam family "Bacterial small subunit ribosomal RNA", at positions 355 to 658 of the family's 1533-position model. The record is from RNAcentral. Lineage: Bacteria; Pseudomonadati; Pseudomonadota; Gammaproteobacteria; Enterobacterales; Enterobacteriaceae.